GUCACGGUGGCCGAGUGGUUAAGGCGUUGGACUGUAAAUCCAAUGGAGUUUCUCCGCGCAGGUUCGAUUCCUGUCCGUGACG
This 82-nucleotide transfer RNA is filed under the name Anneissia japonica. RNAcentral's name for it is "tRNA-Tyr". It matches the Rfam family "tRNA". From Rfam's summary of the family: Transfer RNA (tRNA) molecules are approximately 80 nucleotides in length. Lineage: Eukaryota; Metazoa; Echinodermata; Crinoidea; Comatulida; Comatulidae. The record is from RNAcentral.